This 522-nucleotide ribosomal RNA is filed under the name Acanthogammarus victorii. RNAcentral describes it as "bacterial SSU rRNA". It matches the Rfam family "Eukaryotic small subunit ribosomal RNA", at positions 117 to 554 of the family's 1831-position model. RNAcentral also lists the same sequence under 1 other name. Lineage: Eukaryota; Metazoa; Arthropoda; Malacostraca; Amphipoda; Acanthogammaridae. The record is from RNAcentral.
CCAAAUGGGCCAGUGCAAAUCCUACUUGGAUAACUGUGGUAAUUCCAGAGCUAAUACAUGCAACUGAUAUCCCGAAGGCGGUGUUUGUGCUUGCUUGUCUUGCGCUUUCACUGCUCUGACGGAUGCUUUUAUUAGACCAAGCCGCUGAGGACUUGAGGGUUCGCGCUCUCUUGUUUGACUCGUGUGAUGGUGACUCUGGAUAACCAAAAUUUCUGACAAGCGCACGUACUUCUCUUCUGAGCGAGACGGCGCUGCCACUUUCGAGUGUCUGCCUUAUCAGCUAUCAACCGUUCGUUAUGCGCGACCGAUGGCUUUGACGGGUAACGGGGAAUCAGGGUUCGAUUCCGGAGAGGCAGCCUGAGAGACGGCUACCACGUCCAAGGACGGCAGCAGGCACGCAAAUUACCCAAUCCCAGCAAAUGGGGGAGGUAGUGACGAAAUCUAACGAUGCGGGCGCCCUUUCUGGGGCCCCGCAAUCGGAAUGGGCACUUUCUAAACAACCUGUUGAGAACCUACUGAAGG